GUGAUUAUAGAUUAAUCGGUAAAUCCUUUACCUUCCAAGUAAAUAUUGUGGGUUCGAGUCCCACUAGUCACA
Molecule: transfer RNA, 72 nt
Filed under: Plasmopara viticola
Lineage: Eukaryota; Oomycota; Peronosporomycetes; Peronosporales; Peronosporaceae
Description: tRNA-Gly
Rfam family: tRNA
About the family: Transfer RNA (tRNA) molecules are approximately 80 nucleotides in length. Their secondary structure includes four short double-helical elements and three loops (D, anti-codon, and T loops).
Source: RNAcentral